UUCCUACUAUAUUCUAAGAGUACGUGAACUUUCCUUUUUUAAAAAAAAAAGGUACGGAGGGGGUUUCUUUCCCUUUUGCACGGCCUAGUCCAUAAAAGGGCCCAAUUACGUACGCACGAGAGGACCCUAUUAGGGUUUUCUGGUGUUGGCCGCCGCUCCAAAUUCUCCUCCCCUUUAUUUUUUUAUUUCUUCUUCGCUCCAAUCUCUUCUUUCUUCUGUUUGCGAAUCGGAGCAGCGGCUCUUCUGCUACGCACGCAGCUCACGCGCUCGUGGCUGGGAGCGGCGGUCACGCCUGUUCGCCCGCCUGGCCAUGGCAGCGUUACGGCGACGACACCCGAUCGCCUGCCUGGCCACCACCGUGGUGGUGGCGCAGCGGUGGCGCCCGCUCUCGCAUAGUGCAGGCGCGACCUUCCUGCCGUGGUGCCCGCCUAUGCCACAUUCAUCUUCCCUUUACUUAUACGCACGCGUUCUUGGCC
Molecule: long non-coding RNA, 476 nt
Filed under: Zea mays
Lineage: Eukaryota; Viridiplantae; Streptophyta; Magnoliopsida; Poales; Poaceae
Description: long non-coding RNA NONZMAT000277
Source: RNAcentral